ACCUGACUGGCUUAGUUGAUAGAGCAUGAGACUCUUAAUCUCAGGGUCAUGAGUUCAAGCCCCAUCAUGGGCA
RNAcentral lists this transfer RNA (73 nucleotides) under Ailuropoda melanoleuca (giant panda). It matches the Rfam family "tRNA". From Rfam's summary of the family: Transfer RNA (tRNA) molecules are approximately 80 nucleotides in length. Their secondary structure includes four short double-helical elements and three loops (D, anti-codon, and T loops). Lineage: Eukaryota; Metazoa; Chordata; Mammalia; Carnivora; Ursidae. The record is from Rfam by way of RNAcentral.